RNAcentral lists this non-coding RNA (133 nucleotides) under uncultured Blautia sp. Its description in RNAcentral is "FMN riboswitch (RFN element)". It matches the Rfam family "FMN riboswitch aptamer (RFN element)". From Rfam's summary of the family: The RFN element is a highly conserved domain that is found frequently in the 5'-untranslated regions of prokaryotic mRNAs that encode for flavin mononucleotide (FMN) biosynthesis and transport proteins. This element is a metabolite-dependent riboswitch that directly binds FMN in the absence of proteins. Lineage: Bacteria; Bacillati; Bacillota; Clostridia; Lachnospirales; Lachnospiraceae. The record is from RNAcentral.
UUCUUCGGGGCAGGGUGAUUCGUGAAGAACAGAUAUCUGAACGGAAAUUCCCUACCGGCGGUAAAGUCCGCGAGCCUUCGGGCCGAUUUGGUGAGAUUCCAAAACCGACAGUAUAGUCUGGAUGAGAGAAGAA